AUUGAACGCUGGCGGAAUGCUUUACACAUGCAAGUCGAACGGUAGAGGGGGCAACCCCUCGAGAGUGGCGAACGGGUGAGUAAUAUAUCGGAACGUGCCCAGUCGUGGGGGAUAACGUAGCGAAAGUUACGCUAAUACCGCAUACGAUCUACGGAUGAAAGCGGGGGAUCGCAAGACCUCGCGCGAUUGGAGCGGCCGAUAUCAGAUUAGGUAGUUGGUGGGGUAAAGGCUCACCAAGCCGACGAUCUGUAGCUGGUCUGAGAGGACGACCAGCCACACUGGGACUGAGACACGGCCCAGACUCCUACGGGAGGCAGCAGUGGGGAAUUUUGGGACAAUGGGCGCAAGCCUGAUCCAGCAAUGCCGCGUGCAGGAAGAAGGCCUUC
This 386-nucleotide ribosomal RNA is filed under the name uncultured bacterium. Its description in RNAcentral is "bacterial SSU rRNA". It matches the Rfam family "Bacterial small subunit ribosomal RNA", at positions 30 to 419 of the family's 1533-position model. The record is from RNAcentral.